RNAcentral lists this ribosomal RNA (506 nucleotides) under uncultured bacterium. RNAcentral's name for it is "partial 16S ribosomal RNA". It matches the Rfam family "Bacterial small subunit ribosomal RNA", at positions 30 to 523 of the family's 1533-position model. The record is from RNAcentral.
AUUGAACGCUGGCGGCAGGCCUAACACAUGCAAGUCGAACGGUAACAGGAAGCAGCUUGCUGCUUCGCUGACGAGUGGCGGACGGGUGAGUAAUGUCUGGGAAACUGCCUGAUGGAGGGGGAUAACUACUGGAAACGGUAGCUAAUACCGCAUAACGUCGCAAGACCAAAGAGGGGGACCUUCGGGCCUCUUGCCAGCGGAUGUGCCCAGAUGGGAUUAGCUAGUAGGUGGGGUAACGGCUCACCUAGGCGACGAUCCCUAGCUGGUCUGAGAGGAUGACCAGCCACACUGGAACUGAGACACGGUCCAGACUCCUACGGGAGGCAGCAGUGGGGAAUAUUGCACAAUGGGCGCAAGCCUGAUGCAGCCAUGCCGCGUGUAUGAAGAAGGCCUUCGGGUUGUAAAGUACUUUCAGCGGGGAGGAAGGCGACAGGGUUAAUAACCCUGUCGAUUGACGUUACCCGCAGAAGAAGCACCGGCUAACUCCGUGCCAGCCGCCGCCGUAA